Molecule: non-coding RNA, 77 nt
Organism: Flavobacteriaceae bacterium TMED206
Lineage: Bacteria; Pseudomonadati; Bacteroidota; Flavobacteriia; Flavobacteriales; Flavobacteriaceae
Source: Rfam
GUGGUUGUAGCUCAGUUGGUUAGAGCGCCUGAUUGUGGUUCAGGAGGUACUGCCAACAAAUUUUCCACCCAAUAACU